Dicentrarchus labrax (European seabass) is the source of this 2044-nucleotide long non-coding RNA. RefSeq lists it as uncharacterized. The transcript has 2 exons. NCBI's taxonomy places the organism in Eukaryota, Metazoa, Chordata, Actinopteri, Moronidae. The record is from RefSeq and is a predicted model, not a curated record.
GCUGAAACAGAGAAAGACAAAGAGAGACGGUGAGCAGAGGAAGGACACGCUUCCAAAAACACACGCUGAGAGGGAAGAGGAAGAGGAGGAGUGUGCCGGGGAAAGUGGAGGAAAACAGCUGUUAAAAAGUGCAAAGCUUGUUCAAGUGUCAUAAGAGCAGUUUUCAGGGAGGGGCAGAGCUGGAGAGGACAGGCACUACAGUGGCAGCAGAGGACAGGAGGAAAAGGACAGAGGUUAGUAACCUAGAAAAAGUGCAGGCGUUAGGCAGCUUUGUUUCUUUCAUUCCACGCAGCGUACCAAUCUUACCUCAUAAACCUGCCACAUGAAGCGAAGCAAAGGAAGACAGAGAGACAAAACAGCACAUGUUCAUAUGGGUUUGGGUGUGUUAAUGUUGUUAUGGUGGGGCAGAGAUUAAACUAGAGGCCCCUACAGGGCUAAGGAUGAUUUUAUUUGACCUCCAGGCAGCUGCAAGCUAAUGCUACAUCACAGCCAGCCGUGAAACAGGGGGGUCUUUCAUGAUCCAUUAUAUACUCUCCAACACAUACAGCCCCUAUACACGCCACAUCACACACACUGUAUGAGCACCUGCAUGGAGAAGCCUCCUGUGGGGUUUCAUCUAUACAAACUCUGACAGCUGGAAGCACAUCCACACACACAGGAGGGUCGUUUAUUAUCACUGGGACUUAAAGCAGGAAACUCUACACGAGCUCAUGUCUUUUAACAGCUACCACAAAGCAGCACACUGCUUUUCCUUAAAUUCAACAUCAGGAUCAGAUACUGACAACCACAGGCGGCUAAGACAACAUCGUUUCAGUCUACGGAACGACAGAGAGGAAAAAAGUUGCGUACGUCACUGUCUCUGAGUUGUCCUCCGGUGCACAAAAAAGCCUUUCAAGAACAAAAAGCAAAAGUUCAUGUCUUUUUAAGUUGUAAGUGACAGUAUGUAAGAUAUUCUGAUUUAUGAUCACUAGUUAAAAAAAAGCUAAAGAGCGGACAUUAGGCCUAGACACUAGCCAGUAAGCACUGAUCUGGUAAUUUGCAGGCCAAGAGACGACAACUAGAACCAAAUAUAUCCCAGUUUGAACCUAAAUGUCUUUUGACUUACAAAUCACCAAAUCAAUCAUUACUUGGUAUUCAACAGAACUAAGUCUAUGAAAAUCAAGUGUAUUCACCUUUUCACCAGUGAAAGAUGCCUAAAGGGGAGAAACCCAAACAUGUGACACCAACACACACACAUGAAAAUGCACAAAGAGACAAAGACAAACAGCAAACCAUCAUGAGUCCCGGCUGGAUGCUAGAAUUUAAAGUUAUUAUUUUACAUUUCCCAGCAUCUUACCCAGUUCUUCUUGUUCUUCUUCUUGUUUUUUGCGUCUGCAUCCAUGUUGGAGCCGACACUGGAGUGGCUGGUUGCGCUGGUGAUGCUGCUGACGCUGUCAGAGGAAUGCUGCCUCCUGAUGCGCAGGUCUGGCUGCUGAAUCUGCUGCUGUUGCUGCUGUUGACUGCCAUUACUGCCGGCUGAGGAGAGACAGGCUGAAGUGUAAAUGAAAGUGUUGUCUAAAAUAUGUCUCUUAUUAAAUAUCAAAUAUCAAUAGUGUCAGUGCUGUCCACUUUUGACACGAUGGAGGUUUUACUUUGACUACAGAAAAAAAGGCUCCAGAUUUUGGAAUGAGUUCCCUGUUAUUAAAUAGGUGGAGUACAUUAUCCUAUUUAAUGUGCUGUUAACCGCAAAAGACUGCUUACCAACUUUCCCUCCUGACAAGAAGAGCACACAACAAAAAGUGUCCCACACACCAUCUGAAGCUCACAACUGCAACAAUGUAUUGAUAAAGAAAGUUCCUUGUCACAUUGAAAUGUCUGUUUGUUAAUAAAAUGUUCAAGUUGUAGUAGUUCAGACAGAUUGUGGGAUCCUCUUUGUAUGAUGUGUCCUAUAAUGCCUUUUCUCAAAGACUUUUACACAAAAGUGCAGAAGGACAUCUUGUAUGUGUUCAUUUUGACAAGAAUCAUAUUAAUUCUAAUUAAAAAUAUCAACUUUAUUCAUACAUUU